This 71-nucleotide transfer RNA is filed under the name Ictidomys tridecemlineatus (thirteen-lined ground squirrel). RNAcentral's name for it is "Spermophilus tridecemlineatus (thirteen-lined ground squirrel) tRNA". It matches the Rfam family "tRNA". From Rfam's summary of the family: Transfer RNA (tRNA) molecules are approximately 80 nucleotides in length. Their secondary structure includes four short double-helical elements and three loops (D, anti-codon, and T loops). Further hydrogen bonds mediate the characteristic L-shaped molecular structure. tRNAs have two regions of fundamental functional importance: the anti-codon, which is responsible for specific mRNA codon recognition, and the 3' end, to which the tRNAs corresponding amino acid is attached (by aminoacyl-tRNA synthetases). tRNAs cope with the degeneracy of the genetic code in two manners: having more than one tRNA (with a specific anti-codon) for a particular amino acid; and 'wobble' base-pairing, i.e. permitting non-standard base-pairing at the 3rd anti-codon position. The record is from Rfam by way of RNAcentral. Lineage: Eukaryota; Metazoa; Chordata; Mammalia; Rodentia; Sciuridae.
GGAGCUGUAGCUCAAUGGAAGAAUGCUUGCCUAGUAUGCAUGAGGCCCUGGGUUCAAUCCCCAGCACUCCU